UACGAAGGUGGCAAGCGCUGUUCGGAAUCACUGGGCGUAAAGCGCACGUAGGCGGCUUGGUCAGUCGGAUGUGAAAUCCCUCAGCUCAACUGAGGAACGGCGUCCGAUACUGCCAGGCUCGAGGUCUGGAGGGGGGAACGGAAUUCCUGGUGGAGCGGUGAAAUGCGUAGAGAUCAGGAGGAACGCCGGCGGCGAAAGCGGUUCCCUGGACAGAUCCUGACGAUGAGGUGCGAAAGAUAGGGGAGCAAACGGG
Molecule: ribosomal RNA, 253 nt
Filed under: uncultured bacterium
Lineage: Bacteria
Description: partial 16S ribosomal RNA
Rfam family: Bacterial small subunit ribosomal RNA
Source: RNAcentral